This 936-nucleotide ribosomal RNA is filed under the name uncultured Vibrio sp. RNAcentral's name for it is "bacterial SSU rRNA". It matches the Rfam family "Bacterial small subunit ribosomal RNA", at positions 8 to 922 of the family's 1533-position model. Lineage: Bacteria; Pseudomonadati; Pseudomonadota; Gammaproteobacteria; Vibrionales; Vibrionaceae. The record is from RNAcentral.
AGAGUUUGAUCAUGGCUCAGAUUGAACGCUGGCGGCAGGCCUAACACAUGCAAGUCGAGCGGAAACGAGUUAUCUGAACCUUCGGGGAACGAUAACGGCGUCGAGCGGCGGACGGGUGAGUAAUGCCUAGGAAAUUGCCUUGAUGUGGGGGAUAACCAUUGGAAACGAUGGCUAAUACCGCAUAAUGCCUACGGGCCAAAGAGGGGGACCUUCGGGCCUCUCGCGUCAAGAUAUGCCUAGGUGGGAUUAGCUAGUUGGUGAGGUAAUGGCUCACCAAGGCGACGAUCCCUAGCUGGUCUGAGAGGAUGAUCAGCCACACUGGAACUGAGACACGGUCCAGACUCCUACGGGAGGCAGCAGUGGGGAAUAUUGCACAAUGGGCGAAAGCCUGAUGCAGCCAUGCCGCGUGUAUGAAGAAGGCCUUCGGGUUGUAAAGUACUUUCAGUUGUGAGGAAGGGGGUGUCGUUAAUAGCGGCAUCUCUUGACGUUAGCAACAGAAGAAGCACCGGCUAACUCCGUGCCAGCAGCCGCGGUAAUACGGAGGGUGCGAGCGUUAAUCGGAAUUACUGGGCGUAAGGCGCAUGCAGGUGGUUCAUUAAGUCAGAUGUGAAAGCCCGGGGCUCAACCUCGGAACUGCAUUUGAAACUGGUGAACUAGAGUACUGUAGAGGGGGGUAGAAUUUCAGGUGUAGCGGUGAAAUGCGUAGAGAUCUGAAGGAAUACCAGUGGCGAAGGCGGCCCCCCUGGACAGAUACUGACACUCAGAUGCGAAAGCGUGGGGAGCAAACAGGAUUAGAUACCCUGCUAGUGCACGCCGUAAACGAUGUCUACUUGGAGGUUGUGGCCCUGAGCCGUGGCUUUCGGAGCUAACGCGUUAAGUAGACCGCCUGGGGAGUACGGUCGCAAGAUUAAAACUCAAAUGAAUUGACGGGGGCCC